UAGACAGAUUAUUGUAUUCGACUGUAUUCACGGCGUGAAACAGGGGAUUGCACUGUUUUUAAAUGGAAAGUGAAUCAAUUAACAUAAUAGACUCCU
Non-coding RNA from Nicotiana sylvestris (wood tobacco), 96 nucleotides. The record is from Rfam. NCBI's taxonomy places the organism in Eukaryota, Viridiplantae, Streptophyta, Magnoliopsida, Solanales, Solanaceae.